AAACUUAAUAAUAAAUGCUGGUAUAUCUAGUGCAUUGUUGGCACCACGGGACCAGAAGGCAGUGACCCCCCUGGACCCAGCUUUCACUAUCUUGUGUGUGUCUGUUAUUUCUCAAUCUGCUGAUCUGCCUAACAACAGAGAGCCCCGUUGCAUUGCAGGCUGCUGGCCAGAUCCUGCAAUAUCUGGUGCCCAAUGUGGCCUUCUUUGUUCCUUGGCUCAGUGCACUCCAAGUGCCGUUUGUGAUGACUAGUCUUCAGUCUUGAAGGUGGAGGGAAGGAGUCUCUUCCAGAGCUGCAAACUGUGCUGCCUGUGUUUGGGGCAGCGAUGAUGCAAGCACUCUCUUGGCUGCACUAGCUGGUGUUUCACUAGGUCAUCUCCACCGAAUAUCCACUAACUUCAAGCCCAGCACAUCACCAGGACUUGUCCAGGAAUUGAAGUCUCUUUGGCCUAGACUGCUUUUUAAAUUUAUUUAAGACCCCCAAGAACUUUAGCCCAUACUGGUAGGUCUUGCCUGAACUCAGGCUCCUACCACUGAAAUGGAGAAUUUGCCUCUGGCUAGAGAAGCUCCCUCUGUAGGCACUGGCUGAGUUAUGCCCUGUGUUGCUUUCUGCUGUGACAGGGCAGUACUGAGUUCCAACGUCAAGUCGCACAAUUACUGUUUGCUGCCUCCCCUGAAUGCACAGAUUUUCUUUCCAUACCACUCAGCCAUUGCUGGGGGAUGAAGGAGGGCUGGUGUAGGUGAUUCAAGAUUGUCUUUCCCUCUUCAGUGCCUCUUUCCUUAAUAUAAUGUUAAAACCACACACUGCGAUUGCACUUCUGAUUUUUGGUUCUUCUGGAGGUGUUUUUUUUUGUUCGGAUAGUUCUUCAAUUUGGUGUUCCUAUAGGGAGGACAAUUGUUGGAGCCUUCUUUUCAUCCAUCUUGCCCCACUUUCCUCAGUUAUUAUAUAUUAUUGGCCUUCCUCAAAUAGUAAGGUGUAAAAUAGCAUAUUUUCAUACAUGGAAGUUAUUAUAUUGAAAAAUAGCAAACUUUAAUAAGAUAG
RNAcentral lists this long non-coding RNA (1040 nucleotides) under Homo sapiens (human). RNAcentral's name for it is "HSALNT0125269". Lineage: Eukaryota; Metazoa; Chordata; Mammalia; Primates; Hominidae. The record is from RNAcentral.